Molecule: transfer RNA, 63 nt
Filed under: Thyreophagus entomophagus
Lineage: Eukaryota; Metazoa; Arthropoda; Arachnida; Sarcoptiformes; Acaridae
Description: tRNA-Lys
Source: RNAcentral
GUCUUUUUAAGAUAUUUUAAUCUUUAUGUCUUUUAAACAUAAAAAGCUUUUUAGCAUUAGACC